Molecule: ribosomal RNA, 253 nt
Filed under: uncultured bacterium
Lineage: Bacteria
Description: partial 16S ribosomal RNA
Rfam family: Bacterial small subunit ribosomal RNA
Source: RNAcentral
UACGUAGGUGGCGAGCGUUGUCCGGAUUUACUGGGCGUAAAGAGCGCGCAGGCGGUCGUGCAAGUCGCGUGUGAAAGCCCCCGGCUCAACUGGGGAGGGUCACGCGAUACUGCUCGACUCGAAGGCAGGAGAGGGAAGUGGAAUUCCCGGUGUAGUGGUGAAAUGCGUAGAGAUCGGGAGGAACACCUGUGGCGAAGGCGGCCACCUGGGCCGACCCUGACGCUGAGGCACGAAGGCGUGGGGAGCAAACAGG